Molecule: ribosomal RNA, 406 nt
Filed under: uncultured bacterium
Lineage: Bacteria
Description: partial 16S ribosomal RNA
Rfam family: Bacterial small subunit ribosomal RNA
Source: RNAcentral
AUUGAACGCUGGCGGCAGGCUUAACACAUGCAAGUCGAGCGAGCGGCGGACGGGUGAGUAAUGUCUGGGAACCUGCCUGAUGGAGGGGGAUAACUACUGGAAACGGUAGCUAAUACCGCAUACCAUCAGAUGUGCCCAGAUGGGAUUAGCUAGUAGGUGGGGUAAUGGCUCACCUAGGCGACGAGCCCUAGCUGGUAUGAGAGGAUGACCAGCCAGCAUGGGAAGUGGCAACGGUCCAGACUCCGACGGGAGGCAGCAGUGGGGAAUAUUGCACAAUGGGAGCAAGCCUGAUGCAGCCAUGCCGCGUGUGUGAAGAAGGCCUUCGGGUUGUAAAGCACGUUCAGCGAGGAGGCGUUACUCGCAGAAGAAGCACCGGCUAACUCCGUGCCAGCCGCCGCGGUAAUUC